GACGAACGCUGGCGGCGUGCUUAACACAUGCAAGUCGAACGGAAAGGCCCUGCUUUUGUGGGGUGCUCGAGUGGCGAACGGGUGAGUAACACGUGAGUAACCUGCCCUUGACUUUGGGAUAACUUCAGGAAACUGGGGCUAAUACCGGAUAGGAGCUCCUGCUGCAUGGUGGGGGUUGGAAAGUUUCGGCGGUUGGGGAUGGACUCGCGGCUUAUCAGCUUGUUGGUGGGGUAGUGGCUUACCAAGGCUUUGACGGGUAGCCGGCCUGAGAGGGUGACCGGCCACAUGGGGACUGAGAUACGGCCCAGACUCCUACGGGAGGCAGCAGUGGGGAAUAUUGCACAAUGGGCGGAAGCCUGAUGCAGCAACGCCGCGUGCGGGAUGACGGCCUUAGGGUUGUAAACCGCUUUCGCCUGUGACGAAGCGUGAGUGACGGUAAUGGGUAAAGAAGCACCGGCUAACUACGUG
Molecule: ribosomal RNA, 468 nt
Filed under: uncultured bacterium
Lineage: Bacteria
Description: partial 16S ribosomal RNA
Rfam family: Bacterial small subunit ribosomal RNA
Source: RNAcentral